CCUACGGGAGGCAGCAGUGGGGAAUUUUGGACAAUGGGCGAAAGCCUGAUCCAGCAAUGCCGCGUGAGUGAAGAAGGCCUUCGGGUUGUAAAGCUCUUUUGUCAGGGAAGAAACGGUGAGAGCUAAUAUCUCUUGCUAAUGACGGUACCUGAAGAAUAAGCACCGGCUAACUACGUGCCAGCAGCCGCGGUAAUACGUAGGGUGCAAGCGUUAAUCGGAAUUACUGGGCGUAAAGCGUGCGCAGGCGGUUUUGUAAGUCUGAUGUGAAAUCCCCGGGCUCAACCUGGGAAUUGCAUUGGAGACUGCAAGGCUAGAAUCUGGCAGAGGGGGGUAGAAUUCCACGUGUAGCAGUGAAAAUGCGUAGAUAUGUGGAGGAACACCGAUGGCGAAGGCAGCCCCCUGGGUCAAGAUUGACGCUCAUGCACGAAAGCGUGGGGAGCAAACAGGAUUAGAUACCCCUGGUAGUCCACGCCCUAAACGAUGUCUACUAGUUNUCGGGUCUUAAAUUGACUUGGUAAACGCAGCUAAACGCGUGAAAGUAGACCCGCCGCGGGAGGUACGGUCGGCGAAGAAGUUAAAAACUUAAACUAAAAUAAGUAAAGUUAGUACGGACGUAGGAGGACGAGACCGAACGGACGACCGACCGAAGGGGAAGGGAGGGAG
Molecule: ribosomal RNA, 663 nt
Filed under: uncultured bacterium
Lineage: Bacteria
Description: bacterial SSU rRNA
Rfam family: Bacterial small subunit ribosomal RNA (bases 1-549)
Source: RNAcentral